This 384-nucleotide ribosomal RNA is filed under the name Katablepharidaceae sp. RNAcentral describes it as "partial small subunit ribosomal RNA". It matches the Rfam family "Eukaryotic small subunit ribosomal RNA", at positions 583 to 975 of the family's 1831-position model. Lineage: Eukaryota; Cryptophyceae; Kathablepharidacea; Katablepharidaceae. The record is from RNAcentral.
UUCCAGCUCUAAUAGCGUAUAUUAACGUUGUUGCAGUUAAAAAGCUCGUAGUUGGAUUUUGGAGUUUGACAAGUGGUCUGCCUAAGGUGUGUACUGCUUGUCGGCUCUUCUUUUCUGGGGACCACGCUGCUCUUUAUUGAGGGGUGCUGGGAAUCAGAUCUUUUACUUUGAAAAAAUUAGAGUGUUCAAAGCAGGCCCACGCAUUGAAUACAUUAGCAUGGAAUAAUGGAAUAGGACUUUGGUCUUAUUUUGUUGGUUUCUAAGGCCGAGGUAAUGAUUAAUAGGGAUAGUUGGGGGCGUUUAUAUUCCAUUGUCAGAGGUGAAAUUCUUGGAUUUAUGGAAGAUAAACUACUGCGAAAGCAUUCGCCAAGGAUGUUUUCAUUA